RNAcentral lists this ribosomal RNA (216 nucleotides) under Triticum aestivum (bread wheat). RNAcentral's name for it is "partial small subunit ribosomal RNA". The record is from RNAcentral. Lineage: Eukaryota; Viridiplantae; Streptophyta; Magnoliopsida; Poales; Poaceae.
AUGGAAGGAGAUGAAAUUGUUCAAAAUCCAGGUGUUGGGCAAGUUGCUAGGAAAUAUAAAACCCUCAAUGACCAGCAAAAAUUUGCUACUUAUGUAGCAAUACAUACACUGUGUAUGAGUAGAGGAGGCACUUUUUGGGAACUAAUAAGCAAGACAUUGCAAAAAAAUUUGGAGUGGGUGUUUGGAAUAUACAAAGAAUUUGGAGGAAAGCUAUGA